RNAcentral lists this unclassified non-coding RNA (384 nucleotides) under uncultured fungus. RNAcentral's name for it is "partial contains 5.8S ribosomal RNA and internal transcribed spacer 2". The stretch from base 1 to 133 matches the Rfam family "5.8S ribosomal RNA", at positions 22 to 154 of the family's 154-position model. Lineage: Eukaryota; Fungi. The record is from RNAcentral.
UGGUUCUCGCAUCGAUGAAGAACGCAGCGAAAUGCGAUAAGUAAUGUGAAUUGCAGAAUUCAGUGAAUCAUCGAAUCUUUGAACGCACCUUGCGCUCCUUGGUAUUCCGAGGAGCAUGCCCGUUUGAGAGUCUUGAUAUCAUCAAGCCUUGCCCCUCUUGCGGGGGUGAUGGCUUGGACUUGGACGUGCUGCCGGCCGGAGAAUGGUCGGCUCGUCCGAAACGCAUUAGCCUCCAGUCCCGUCGGCUCUGGGGUGUUCUCGCUCGGCGUGAUAAGAUCACCCGUCGGGGGACCCCCUCAGCCCGGCCUUGUGGACCUGGCUUCCAACCGUCUGACAGGACAACCUUGAACGUCUGACCUCAAAUCGGGUAGGACUACCCGCUGA